Molecule: transfer RNA, 63 nt
Filed under: Gibbosaverruca weijiai
Lineage: Eukaryota; Metazoa; Arthropoda; Thecostraca; Verrucomorpha; Verrucidae
Description: tRNA-Gly
Source: RNAcentral
GUUUAAUUAGUAUAAAAAGUAUAAUAGACUUCCAAUCUUUAGGUCUAAGUUAUAGAUUAAAUA